Felis catus (domestic cat) is the source of this 4158-nucleotide long non-coding RNA. RefSeq lists it as uncharacterized. The transcript is spliced from 3 exons. Lineage: Eukaryota; Metazoa; Chordata; Mammalia; Carnivora; Felidae. The record is from RefSeq and is a predicted model, not a curated record.
CAGCCCAGCAGCCCCGCACCUGCUUCCAGGGCCUGAGCGAGAAAUGUAGGCAUGCGCUCAUGAGCGUGGGUUUGUUCUUCUCUUUCCGACCCAAGCCAAGGAGGCGAGUUCACGGCAGAUGGCUCCAAGUUGGAGCUCUCAAAAUAUUUACGCAGCACUGCAGCUGUUGGACUUCACAGACCCGCCCCUGGAGCCUGAGGCCGACAGGUCCAGCCCAUGGAGAAUGCUGGCUAGUCUGAGCCCCAAGCACCCAUUUUAGAUCCAGAGGAAAGGAGGGUAGGAGCCUGGCUUUAAUUGCAAGUGAAACCCGGGGAGUGCUCUUGAGCGGAGAUGUGCGAGCAGAGGAGAGCCUGGCAGUAUGCGUGCGGCUGUUCCUUGCUGUUCCACAUGCCUAGAGCAUUCCAGCCACCGCACCAGCACAGCAUUCUGGGGGACAAAGCCUGGGAACCCAGUGAGAGUCAGUGUGAGUGCAAGCUCCUCAGUCUCACAUCUGAAUGUCUCACCUAACGACAUUAUGGUAUUUAGCCUCAAAAAUAUCAGCUGCAAUAUGGCAUCUGCUGGGAAUACGGAAGCUGGUUUGGUUCUGUUCCGGGAUAAUACACGUGAAGGCUGAAGGCGGAGCCUGUAAGAGGGGAUUCUACAAAGAACCCUUUUGCUUCUCUUCAGUUCAGUUCUGAAUCUUAGAAAUUGUCGCUGUUCAAGGCGGGCUUUGGCCUCUUCCUAUGUCCCCUGGCCCCGCAGAGCUGCCCAACCAGGGGGUGGUACCCACAUCCUGCCCAGGUCCCUUUCCAGGAGUUCUCUUCAUGGAUUCUCCUCACCUCUGUGUUCCCCACCCCAUCUGUCCUUCUCUAACAGUAUCAACAGAAAGCACACGGUGCCUCCUUACUUACCAUGUCCUCCUCCAAGUAGAAUCACACUACCUCACAGGUGCUGUGAGAACUUCACAACAGAACGGCUCCAUUUCUCUCCCCCCACCCCAGCCUUGGUGCUGUUGUUACGCACAUGCGUCUACAUAGUUUAUAAACUCCACGCUGCAUUGCAAUGAUUUUCACUCAGUCCAAUGUCUUUUAAAGAGAGUUAAACAAUGUUAAAAUCUUACUAUUUAGCCAUGAAGGUAAAGUUCCUGGAACUGUCUGUUCCUUUGCUUAGGUCCAUCUUUCCAGCUUGUGUCCUGUCCCUUCUACCCAAAGAACUUCCUUUGACAUUGUUUAUAAUGCACUUCUGCUGGUGAUGGAUUCUUUCAGCGUUUGUACAUCUGAAAAGGUUUUCAUGUCACCUUCAGUUUUGGAAAAUAUUUUUGCUAGUUAUAGAAUUCUAGGUUGACAGGUUUGGCUCCCCACCCCCCCCCCCGCCCCUCAACCCUUAAAAGACAUUGUUCCACUCUCUUCUCACAUUGUUUCCAAAGAAAAAUAACUGCUGUCAUUCUUACCCUUGUUCCUCUGUCCAUGACUUGUUUUGUUCCGCUGGUUGCCUUUAAGAGCUUCUCGCCAUCCCUGAUUUUGAGCGAAGUGAUUACGGUGUUAUUUGGCAUAGCUUUCUCCAUGUUUCUCAUGCCCGUGGAUUCUCGGACAUGUGGUUUUACAGUUUUUAUCAAAUUUGGCACAUUUUGGGCCAUUAUUUCUUCAAGCAAUCUUUUCUGUUUCCCAGAUUCCUCCCAUUCUCCUUCAGAGACUUCUAUUACACAUAUAAUUAGGCUGUUUUAAAUUAUGUCAUGGCUCACCAAUGCUCUGCCCGUUUUCUCCUGGUCUUUUCUCUCUCUGUCUAGUCUCUAUCGGUUCAUUUUGGGUAGUUCCUACUGCUGCCUUCAAGUUCACUAGCCCAUCUUCCACAAUGUCUAGUUAAUCCAACCUUGGACAUGGCAGUUUUCAUCUCUAGAAGUUUGAUUUGCCUCUUUUUUUUUUUUUUAAAUAUAUCUUCCACCCUAGCACUUGACAUGUUCCUCUAGCUUCUUGAACAUCUGGAAAACCGUUAUCGUAACAGUUAAUGUCCUUCUCUGCUGACUCUACCUUCAGUGUCAGCUCCGGGGCAGUCUCGACCGGUCAACGUACCUCCUCCGUGUGGUUCUUCUUUUCCUUCUUCUUUGCAUGCCCAACAACUUUUUGUUUGCUGCCAGACAUUGUUGGGCACUGGACCUUCCUGUAUUCCUGUAAAUAUUCUCAAGCUUCGUCCUGGGACACAGUUGAAUUAGUUGGCAACAACAUGGUGCUUUUAGGUCUUUCAUGAUUUGUUAGGUGACGGGGGAUCAGUAGUCCACCUGGAAUUAGCUCUUCCCCACUACUGAGGCAGAACUUUCCUGCGUAUUUUGCCCAGUACCUUGUGAAUUUUGAGCUUUCUCAGUCUGGCUUAUGGGAAUUGGUACUAUUUUCAUCUCUGUGUGACCUCUGAGAAUUGUUCCUCCUAAUCCUUCAGGGUGGUUCUUUUUCCAGCCAUGACUAGUUUGUUUGUAUGAAUGCACAGUUCACUACUUAGAAGACUGCUCUAUAGAUCUCUAGAAUUUCUCUCUGGGCAGCUUGCUCCUGUCUGGUACUCGGCCCUGUGGAAUCUAGUCACCUUGGCCUCCCUGAAGUUCCUGCUCCAUAUUUUUUUUUCAAUUUUUUAAAUGUUUAUUUAUAUUUUGAGAGAGAGAGAGAGUGCGAGGGAGGGAGGGGCAGAGAGAGAUGGAGACCGAAUCUGAAGGAGGCUUCAGGCUUUGAGCUGUCGGCACAAAGCCUGACGCGGGGCUUGAACUCGCAAACCGCGAGAUCAUGACCUGAGCCUAAGUCGGACACCUAACCAACUGAGCCACCCAGGUGCCCCCUUGCUCCACCUUUUCAACUCAGAGAGACCACCAGGGCUCCUCCUGGGUGCCCUCUCCCUGUGCACCUGGAAACUCCAUGUAGCAAGCUGGAUAAUUAUAGGGCUCACCUCCACAGUGGUUUCCCAGCUCUCAGAGAACACUGACCUUCAGUGCCUAUUGUCCAGCGUCUUGAAAACCAUUAUUUCAUGUAUUUCACCCAAUUUUUUAGUUAUUUCAAGUUGGUGGGUACAGUGAGUCCCUGCGACUCCAUUUUGGCCAGGACAGAAAGCAUGUAUAAACCUGAAUGUGUUUAUGACUUCAAGUAUUUUCCCCAUAAUCUGAUAGUGUUUGCAAGGCGAGUGUAUUCCAAACCUUUAUUUUGACAUAAUGUAAAAGUUACAAAAGAGUUGCAAAUAUAGUGCAGAGAAUUCUGACACACCCUUCACCCAGUUUCCCCAAAUGUAUAUUUUUUAUUUGUACUUCUUUUCAGUGUCCAAGUAAUGAAUGCUAAUGGUAAAAACAAAAAAAAAAUGUUAUAGUUGAUACUUGAGAAUAUAAAUAAUGUAAUAAUCACAUCAUGUAUUUUCUUGUCAUGUUAAUAUGUAUCAGGGAAGACGGGACACUGUUCUCCUUCUUGUCAUAUUCCUACCACAGCAAAUGGAGGAGGGAGCUUCUCUGCCUCCUUGGAGAGUGUUGGAGGGACCACAGCCUUCUGGGUUUUUCUCUCUAUACUCACCUACUCGCAUGAGCAGAAACAGCUCUUUGGGUGAGGCCCAACAUUGGGCCACAUUUUGCUAGUGGGCAGGGCUUAAAGUGUUAAAAGUUCAGCUCUUAUGAGGUGGGCUCACUGGACUCUUAGCUUCUUGUCUCUGGUUGGUGAACCCCCCCCCCCCCAGCCCAGGGCAAGGCCCAGCACCUGCUUCUUUUACGCUCUCCCUUCGACCAUAAUUAGGCAGAUGAGACAGACCAAUAGUCCAGGAAGGAAGCUGGCUUGGGGUCUGGAUACAGAGCCAGUUCUGUGGGUCCAGCUCUCCCCACAGUCAAGCACUCGGGUCUUUAUCCAGGGGAAGGAGGCUCUACCCUGGAUUCACUUCCAAGACCUGUUCUCCCAGCCAGUUGACCAAGACAGUCCUGCACUCAGGGCUGUUGGUGUUUGCCUACUUAGUAAUAAAGCUAAUAUUUCAAUUCCAUUUGCCUAGUGAUUUUCCAUUGGCCAGUAUCCUAGGGAAAGAGAGUCAAGUGUAUGAUGGGUGUACCCAACCUCUCAUCCAAACCUCCAGAAAUGUAAUUUACAUAAUUAUUUUUUUAACUUUCUCUUUUUUUAAUUAAUUUAUUUUUUUUAUUUUAGAGAGAAGAUGUCAGCCAGGGAGAGGGGCAAAGGG